NCCGCUGAAUUUAAGCAUAUUAAUAAGCGGAGGAAAAGAAACUACAAGGGAUUCCCCUAGUAAUGGCGAAUGAAGCGGGAACAGCUCAAAUUUAAAAUCUCCGUUGCUUGCAACGGCGAAUUGUAGUUUCGAGAAGCACUUUCUCGGCGGAUCCGAGGUCGUCCAAGUUGCUUGGAACAGCACGUCGUAGAGGGUGACAACCCCGUCUGCGGCGAUCUCGGCCGUUCACGAUGUGCUUUCGACGAGUCGGGUUGUUUGGGAAUGCAGCCCAAAAUGGGUGGUAAACUCCAUCUAAAGCUAAAUAUUGGCACGAGACCGAUAGCGAACAAGUACCGUGAGGGAAAGAUGAAAAGCACUUUGAAAAGAGAGUUAAAAAGUACGUGAAACCGUUAAAAGGGAAACGAAUGGGGUUAGCAAUGCGUCGUGCGAGAUUCAGCCGGUGGGUGGGCCAGGCGGGCGGUUGGCGGAUCUGAAUGGACCGCUGCCGUUCGGGUUGGUUUCCCGACCGUCGCACUUCUCGCAGGCGCGCGCCAACGUCGGUUAGGGCUGGGUCUCAAAGGCGGUGGAAAGGUAGGUUUGGACUCUCGGGCCCGAACUGUUACAGUCCUCCGUUCGUCAUGGCCCGGACCUGACCGAGGAGCUUGCGGUGCAUGCCGUUCGGCUAGGAUCCCGUCUUCCCGGUCGGUCGUCGAAUGCGGUGGACUGCGUGCAGUGCGCCGCGACUGCUGCCGGUCGCGAGGGCGGUGAUUUCGUACUAUGCACCCACGACGUUGGCGGUCAUAUGGCCUCAUCCGACCCGUCUUGAAACACGG
Molecule: ribosomal RNA, 812 nt
Filed under: Nematostella vectensis (starlet sea anemone)
Lineage: Eukaryota; Metazoa; Cnidaria; Anthozoa; Actiniaria; Edwardsiidae
Description: Eukaryotic large subunit ribosomal RNA
Rfam family: Eukaryotic large subunit ribosomal RNA
Source: Rfam by way of RNAcentral